Callithrix jacchus (white-tufted-ear marmoset) is the source of this 8203-nucleotide non-coding RNA. NCBI's taxonomy places the organism in Eukaryota, Metazoa, Chordata, Mammalia, Primates, Cebidae. The record is from RefSeq and is a predicted model, not a curated record.
UACACAGUACACACAUUCGCUCCCUCAGCAUUGCAAACACGCUCCCCCCAAACCACAAACGCGCCCCCACACACUCGCUUACUUUCCCUCACAAAGAUGCCCGCUUACACGGCCACAGCAAGCACGCUCAAAGACACGCAGUUGCACACUUACACACAUCGCUGUAUACAACCCCACACACACUCAAAACACAAAACACGAAACGUUCCCCUGGGCACUAAAUUCUCACGUUCACGUACACACCCAAACACACGCCCUCCUCUCCCACUCCUCUUCCAUACCCCUUCCUCAAGGGCCCCCACUCCUGAUUUUCGGCACCCCAAGUCCCAAUCAUAAUCGGCGCCCACGCAGCCCCCUUUGGACCCACACACAGGCGCGCACGCACGCACUCCCCUCCCCAGCAGGCGGGGGCGGCUUCAGCGCGGAGCCCGCGGAGCCCGCUUCGGAUUCCAGGUGUGGCGGUGACUCCGCGCUCCACGUUUUGCAGGCCGCCGCCGUGUCGGAGGCGAGGAGAGGAAGGGAGCUGGAAUAACAAAGGCAAGUUGGGGAGAGCGCAAGGGGGCGCAGCCCCAGUCGGGCUGCGGGGGGAGCCCUGCGCAGCCGGGGCUUGGGAGGCUGCGGGGUCGCGGGCGCGGGGAGCCGGAGGUGGGGGAGGAAGGGUGGGGGGAGAGGGGCGGGGCCGAGGCGUGACGUCAGAGAACAAUGACACUGCCGGGGGGGGGGGCGGGCACCCGGAGGCGGCCGGGGCGGGGGUCUCCCCGGGGGCCUGGGGCGGGCCGAAGACGUCCUGGCCCGGCCGGAGCCACCGCCUGACUGACGAGGCCCCGCAAGGGAGCAGACGUGCUGCCCAGACUUGCGGGUCUCCCGGGCCGCUUGGGCGGUGAUCAGCGCGGACCUUGGGCCAACCCGGGAAGCAGGCCGGAGCACUACCCCCACCAACCCCAUUUUAGAACAUCCUUCUGAGGGCUUCGCUGACCUCGGCUUGAACUCCUUCAGAGCCGGAGAGAUCACUCCUUCCACUACCGAGGGAGAGAAGGCAGAAUGAAUUUGCCAGCUUUGAAUUCAUUCUCAAGGCUCCGCUAGUCUGACAGCCGGUGAACUCAGCCUGGAAUUCCUGAGAGCUCAGAAAACUGCUGCUCAGGUGGCAGUUGAGCAUCCCUGGAGAGGGUGGUGAUAUGAAAGCACUUCCAGACCUCUAGGGACACCAGGGAGUCAUGAUCCCAGCACAUUCCUGUGUGAGGGAGCCCCUCCUCCUCAGCCUGUGUGUGGCCCAAGUUCACAGGUAGGUCCACCAGGGCCACCUGAGAAACCUCUGAAGGUAGGAAUUCAGCUUGCAGAAUGGAGGCUGGAGAUACAACUGUCCCACUCCCAGCAAUCCACAGCAUUGCGACAGUCGUACAGCCACCCCAUACCCACAUCCAAAAUCCCAAGAGAGUUUCUGGCUGUUUAAGGACUUGGGAUACUAGCAUGCAGCCCAGCUAAAAACUAGACCAGUUUUUGUUGCCUGAAUGACCUCCUAGGUCUGGACGCCCAGCCUCUCAACCUUUCUGUCCAGAUUCCUCAGUAAGUACCCAGGACCUGCCCGCUUCCAGGAAUUGGGGGAUGUAGAUGACUUGGGAGGUGACUAACUCAUGUUCAAAGUCUCCUGUCCAGAAGCUCCAUCUCCCCACCCCACGUCCCAGCCCCCUACUCUCCUACCAGUAAUUACAUCUGGAACCCAGGAAGUGGCUGCAGAGGGCAGAGGAGCCAAGUAGGCUCAACUUAGUAGCACAGAACCAGGGAUCAUUUCAGCUGUCCCCUUCUGUGCAAGCAUGGUGGCAAGUCAGAAACCCACCAGGGCCCUGGGUCUGCCCUAGGCUCCUCUCCUUGGGUCUCUGAGGCCCUUACUCUCUGUUCAUCUUCCAGGGAGAUAAUGGGGCAGGCUGGAUACCUCUGGGGUCUUGGAAGAAGUUAUGACUUAUUUAUUGCCUACUGUGUGCUGAGUACUGUGGUGGGGCCUCCUAGGUAUUGAGAAUUCAGUUCGCUUAUUGAAUUUGCACAUUGUCUUAAGUUAGAUGCUGCUACCAUCCUCUUUUCAGAGAAAACUGUGAAUGGCUUCCUCAACACUGGUCAGGAUGGGAACUUGGGCCCCCAUUAGCAGAGUUCCCUGUUGUCCUCUUAGCCCUGGCUAUGUGUCUUCAUCCAUAGACUGUGUGGCCCUAAGCAAAAUGCUUUCUGCCUCUGAGCCCCUGUAAGGUCUAUGGUGCCAUCAGGCCUCACUGGGAACUGUGUCCAAAAUCUUCACCCCAAGAGCCUUAGCCUCACUGGGCCUGGAGAUCUGCUGGUGAGAUAGAGAGGACAAUACCAUCACUUCCCAGUGGCCCAGAGCUGGAAGAUGCAUCCUGCUCAGCCCCUGCAGGCCCAGAGGUCACCUGGCUCCACUAGGAGGGCACGGGCGGCAUGGGGCAGCUGGCUUGUGCCUACCUUCAGAACAGACUCAAGUGCUGUUAAUUUCCCUGCCCUGUGGGAGCUACCAGUGGACUGGGGAGAGUACCACUGCUGGGCCCUAGGCCCAGGUUUCAGGAGGCAGAAAAUCUGGGGGCCAGCAGGAUGGUGGGGGUUAGAGGCUUGAGGUCCCUGAGGGAAGCAAAAGACCUGUGUAGGGUGUGGCAAGUAUGGCCUCCUAGUGUGAGCUGAGGUAGGGGCAGGUAUACAGCAGGGAUUCCUACUUAUCCAGGAGCUGCCUUCUCUGUUCCCACUCUCCACCCCUCACUUCUGGAACUUAAGGGAGCCAGGGAACAUCUAAAAUUGAGACUAGAGAGGUAGGAAGAAAAUCACAUUUAUUGAGUACUUAUUGUGUGCCAGGCACUUUGGAAACAUUCGUUGUAUCCUCUCCGCAAGCCAGAUGUCAUUCCCUGCUAAGGGAAGAGGCUCAGAGAGGUUAAGUGGUCUGCUCAAGAUCUCACAGCUGGCUGGGCAUAGCGGCUCACACCUGUAAUCUCAGGACUUUAGGAGGCCAAGCGGGACAGAUCACUUGAGCUCAGGAGUUCGAGACCAGCCUGGGUAAUAUAGCAAGACCUUGUCUCUACAAAAAAAAUACAAAAAUUAACCAGGCAUGGUAGCACAUGCCUGUAGUCCAGCUACUUGAGGGGCUAAGGUCAGAGGAUCACUGGAUCCUAGGAGGCUGAGGCUGCAGUGAGCCAUGAUUGUGCCACUGCACUCCAGACCGGGCAACAGAGCAUGACCCUGUCUCAAAAAAAACUAAACAAAACAAUAAAGAUCUCAGAGCUGCUGAGUGGGUGGAGCCAAGAUUGGGCUCCGGGUCUGGGCUGGGCCUUGAGGUUAAGAAUAGGGACUUGCCCUCAUCUCACUGCCAGGUUAUGGUGCAGGUAAGAUGACCUACCAGCUACUUUGAGGUGGAGUAAAGACUCACCCACUUGCCAGGGAAUGACUGGGGCCCUUCCCAUGGCAGUGAGGUAAUAGGGAUUACAUUUAGUCUUCACCCCUUGGUGGAUACAGGAAGCAUUUGGCCCGGGCCCAGCUCUGAGCCGUAUUCCUCUAUGAGGUGGGUGGUUGGGUCAAGCAGGGAAGAUUUUUGUCCUUCAGCAAAUUAGGCUCUCCUACUCUGCCUCCCCCUCAUUUUCCAAUCAGACCUGAGCCCACACCUUCCCAUCCUCCAAGGCCUUCCCUCAAGCAAGAUGUCUUCUGACUUUCCACCAUGGAGCUCUGCCCUAUGGUUCAAGACUCAACUCAGCCACCACCCCCUUCUUCAGAUGGGAGACACAAGAUAAUAGGCCGGGGGCCUGCCUCAGGAGCUGGGACACCUAUGUGCUCAGCCUGGCAUUGCCUGAUUUGCUGCGUGGCGUAAGCACAUCACAAACCCUCCCUGUGUCUGUUCCCCAUCUGCCGAGGCAGAGAGUAUGGGAUAUCCAGCAGCACUUUUGCCUCUGCUUGUUCUUAGAUUCUGUAGGUCUGAUCCUUUAACCCCUGGACUGAGCUACAGUUCACUUUAGGGUUUGAGGGGGCCCUGCUUUAGGGAGGGCUUUCAGAGGGGGCCAUUUAGUGGAGUAGGGACAAAAAAUAAAUACCUGGAGAGAGCUGCUCAGAACUGUGACUGUCUAGGACUGUGAGGAGUUAAUGACCCUAACAUCUCCCUUCAUGGGGCACCUCUCACUCUCUGCGCCUCAUAACAUUCCUUUUGUGGGUGACUAAGCUGAGCCCUAAAAGGAGGUGGUGGCUUUCCCAGGGCUGCACCACUGGGAAGCACCAGAGCUGGAACAAGAGCCAGGUCUCAGCCAGGCAUGGUGGCACAUGCCUGUAGUACCAGCAACUCCUGGGGGCGAGGGGGUGCAGAGAAGAGCCAGGUCUCCUCAUCCAGUGUCCCCUCACCUGCGUCAGCACCCCUUCAAAGGAGCAAGUACAUGCAGAAACUGAUGAAGGAGUCUGGGACAAGCAACCUGAGAAGGACCACGCCUCCCACCUGCUUCCUGACAGCUCCUUAACCCUGAGAGGGGUGGUGGAAGAUCUCAGAUCCUCAGCAUCUCCCCUCCUCCUGGCUACGCAGUCCUCCUCCAGCCUCAAGGCUCAUGCUUUCUUUUUCUCACCUAAUCCUGUAGCCAUGCUGGGUGACUUCCAGAAUUGCCAGCAUUAUGUACAUACUCUUACCUCUGUGCUGUUGUUGAUACUCUUCCUACCUCCUAGACAUACCCCUCCCAGUCGCCAAGGAUGCAUCUACAACCACCUGCUUGGAAGCCUACCCUGAUACCUCCACCAGAUGUGCCGUCCUUGUCUCAGCCCCCAUAUGCUGCUGGCCCAGCCUCCAUCAUCAGCAUCACCAUGGCAAUUGCUUGUGAAGUUCUUGCUAUGUGCCAGGCACUGAGUAGCUCAUAUACAUGAACUCCUCCCAUCCUCUGAGCUGAGUAUUAGUAUUCUCAUUUUACAGAUGAGGAAACAGAGGCACAGGGAGUUUCAUUUCCUAGUGUGACACCUCACAGGCUGGGGAGGUUAUGUGUUACAUACCCCUCUUCUGUCAGGGCUGCAGGUCAUAGGAUGGCUCACUGCUACAUCCCAUCACCCAGUGCAGCGCCUUGGGGGCUGACAGGCCAUCAAGAGCAGGGGAGGUAUCACGGCACAUAGUAUGACCAGAACCAGUCCUCUGGGGGCUCACAGGCUCUCAGAAACAACUGCCCACACCAAAUGCCAGUCUAAGAGUUCAGGGGAAGAAGAGGAGUUGGCAUUGAGUGGGGUCUGGAAGGUAAGCUCUGCUGGGGCUGUAGGAAAGCCAGAGUGGCACAUGGACCUGCCCAAGGUCACACAGCAAGUAUAGGACAGCAGCAGGGCUGGGACCUGGAGCUCCCAGUGUGACAUGCCUUCUUGCACCUUGCAGCCAGCUGUGGGGCCCCUUCGACUGUGCUAUUUUCAAGGACACACGGUCCCAGACGCCUCCACGAUGCUGAGCUGUUCAAUGAGUGGCUCUGGUUCUUCUCCCCCUCUAUUAAAAUGGAAAAAAAAAAAGAAGAAGAAAGAAAGAAAUCCAGGCAUUGUUCCUGACUGCAGCUGGUGCCAACCAGAAUCCCGCUGAACAGAAUGGAGCCGAGAGCCUGGCCGCCCAGGGGCCUGGCUGCUGACACAGGGCCUUUCUAUUUAGCUUUCCACUGGGGGCCCAGGCUGACGGUACAGCCCCUCCACGGACACCCUCUCCACCUGCCUCCCCGGCCCUGGCUCUGAGCCUCCUGCUGCCUUCACCCUUUUUGCAAAAAUCAGAUGCCACUUGGGAGGGCUGCAGGAGCACCCCCACCCCCUGCUUUCCUUCUUCAUCCACUCACAGCCUGGGAUGCGCUGGGCCUCCCUCCCUCCCUCCCUCCCUGUCCCCCUACCCUACCAGGAGGGAACUUGGGAUGCUUGUCUGGGAAAACGGCACAAAUCCCUCUUCCAAAAUCAUUUUAAACACUGGUCCGAUUCAAAGACAUGAGGAUUUUCCACCCCACCCCCACCUGACUUGGCAGGUGCCAGUCCUCAGCUUACACAUUAAGGCCUCUUGCAAUAGUGAAGGCCUAGGGGGAAAAGGGAAGGUGAUGAACAGCUCUGCAGAGACAAAAACCGUCGUUUAAAUCACUGGUUUGCCUUCUCCCUUUGGUCUUAGGAGGAAAAAAGGACUCCUCCAGCUCUCCCUUGUCAUCUUCAUUUCAUCCCCGCUCCCUUCCCCUUUUGUGAGUUGCUGGUACUCAGACCCCGUCUCCCCAGGCUAUGGGUGGGUUUGACCCACAUUACUCCAAGCAGCAGUUCUAAGAGAGCAGCAGCCUGGCCACUGUCCAGUGUCCAUCAGGGACCCUUGGAUUGGUGCUGCCACCAGAGCCAACUCUUCCGGCUCCCCCCUUCCUCCUGGGGACACAGCUCUUUAGUUUGUCAAAAGCACUUGACAUCUCACGUGAGUGCUGCAGCAGCCUCCAGAGGCAGGCAGGGAUUGCUAACCCUGCUUCUACAGGGAUUCACCUCGUAGAAUAAUAAACUAAGGGUUCAGGAGGCAUCGUGGUUUGGCCAAGGUUAAAUGAGGUGACAGAGUUGGGAUGUGAACCCUGGUCUCUUGAUUCCACAUCGCUAAGUUGUGGUGGGGACUCAGGGAGUGACGGUGUCAGAGGACGACAUUCCCAGCCCCAACCACCCUCCACCCAACCAAAUGCUGCCAGGAGACAGGAUCUCAGACACGUCAAUUCCUUUAAGAAAUAUUUAUUCAGUACUUGCUAUGUGCCAGAUCUCCAACAGUGAACAAAACAGAUUUGGUCCACACAGCUGCAGAGCUUAUAUUCUGAGACAGACACCAGACUUUGUGCAGAAAGAUACCUCACCUCCUAGUUGCCCAGCCCGUAUGUCCCAGAAGGAACCAUGAGUUGGGCAGCCAGACGUAAGUUCUAGUCCUAGGAUUGUCCCUCUCUGUGUCACCUUGGGCCGAGUUUUCCACCUGGGAAAUCUAAGCAUGUGGCCCUCACACAUUUUCUCAGGUCUCUGCCCUACUCCCCGUCUCUGGGUCUAGUGGUUCAUGAUUUCCUGGUAUGAAUAAUUACCCUGCUUUUUAGUUUUUUUCUUAAACCCCACUUUUCACAGGCUCUCAGAGCCAGAACGGGGCUUCUGAGAUAAUUUGCUCUGAGCCCUUCACUAAGAAAGAACCCCUUAGCCUCACUCCUACCAGGAGGAGACUGUCUCUGCUUGCACCCUUCCAGGACAGGCUGCUUGCUACCUCACAGAGCAGACCUCUGCCAGUGGUGUGCUGGUAAAUGUUUAACAUCUGACUCCCCAAAGUGGGGAGAACCUGGUUUGUAGUAUUUGCCGAUGUCCCACCAUGGCCAGUUUCAAGCUGCCGACCAGAGCCAGCUGGCACAGCUGGUUGGUUCCAUCAACCAGCUCGCACAGUUCCUGAAAAUUUAACAAUCGGCCCUUGUGAGCCAUAUGAACAGGCUCCAACACACCAUUGCCCCUGCCCCUCAGAGAAGUCCUAUCCGGCUUUACUCACUGGGAAGUUCUUUCUGGUAUGGAGCAAAAUAUCUGAUUGUCAGGAACUCUGGCCUGAAAGUCCUGAGCUGCUUCUCUGGGGUGUCACAGGACAACAGGGACCCUAUGAAGCCCUUCUCUAAUUGGUGGCAGUUCUUGACUCUGUCUUCCUGUGAGGGGGACAAGUUCCUGGCCAAGUGGGGUCAGAUUAUAGCCACCCUCCCAUUCUGCCUUUCUCUCUCCCUCCUUACCUCCCUUCCUUCCUCCCUUUCUUUCACGAAUAUUUCCUGGGCCCCUGUGACAUGUCAGACAUAGCGCUAGAUACUGUGGAUUCAGCGACACAUGUCUUAGCUUGCACUGAGAUGCCGUCCACUCUGAGAAGCCUGUCCUGGCCCCCACCCCGGCCCCUCCUGCAGUGGGCAGGCUCCUGCCCUCCCAGAGCUUUUCACCUUUAUCACUGCUGUUUGGCGCUUAUCACUUUCUACCUGGGAUUGCAGCUAUUUAUGUACACGGCUUAUCUCCCUGCCAGACUGAGAGGCAACUCGGACCUGCUGAAAGAGGGUGGACUUUGGAGCCGCAUGACCUGACCCUCAAUCCCAGCUCACAGCGACUUAGAGCUGUGAGCCCUGGAGGAGCUCCCACCACCUUUGGGAGCCUCAGUUUCCUUAUCUGUAAAGUGGGGAUGGUAAUAACUACUUCCAGUGUGUUUUCAAGCAAUAAAUAGGAUUAGAAAUGUCAA